AGGAUUCUUCUUAUUAUAUCUACAUCUGGAAUGACUGUUAGCUUGCUUCUUGUUGCAGUUGCCUUUUAUUUAGAGGGCAUUGUUUCAAACGAUUCACAUUUAUAUAGCAUUGUGGGAAUCCUGUCACUUGUGGGGCUUGUGGCUAUGGUAAUUUUCUUCUCCCUUGGGCUUGGAGCUAUUCCUUGGCUUAUAAUGUCUGAGAUACUCCCAGUGAAUAUUAAGGGCCUUGC
RNAcentral lists this unclassified non-coding RNA (230 nucleotides) under Hevea brasiliensis (rubber tree). Lineage: Eukaryota; Viridiplantae; Streptophyta; Magnoliopsida; Malpighiales; Euphorbiaceae. The record is from RNAcentral.